GAUGAAGAACGUAUUGAAAUGCGAUACGUAGUGUGAAUUGCAGAAUUCAGUGAAUCAUCGAAUCUUUGAACGCACAUUGCACCUCUCGGUAUUCCGGGAGGUAUGCCUGUUCGAGCGUCAUUUGUACCCUCAAGCUCUGCUUGGUGUUGGGUGUUUGUUCCGCCUCUGUGUGUGAACUCGCCUCAAAACAAUUGGCAGCCGGCGUACUUGUUUCGGAGCGCAGCACAUUUUGCGAUCCAGAUCAACGUACAGCGGCAUCCAAGAAGCCUUAUUUAACGCUCUUGACCUCGGAUCAGGUAGGGAUACCCGCUGAACUUAAGCAUAUCAAUAAGCGGAGGA
This 339-nucleotide unclassified non-coding RNA is filed under the name soil metagenome. RNAcentral's name for it is "partial contains 5.8S ribosomal RNA, internal transcribed spacer 2, and large subunit ribosomal RNA". The stretch from base 1 to 120 matches the Rfam family "5.8S ribosomal RNA", at positions 35 to 154 of the family's 154-position model. The record is from RNAcentral.